RNAcentral lists this ribosomal RNA (2208 nucleotides) under Triticum aestivum (bread wheat). RNAcentral's name for it is "partial small subunit ribosomal RNA". Lineage: Eukaryota; Viridiplantae; Streptophyta; Magnoliopsida; Poales; Poaceae. The record is from RNAcentral.
AUGGGGAACCCCGGUGCAAUUCAUCGUUCUAUUACCCUCCAAGUCUUCACUGUCUUCUCCCUUGUUGCCUUUUUUGUAGCAGAUCAUGUCCAGGGAGGAGAUGAUGGGUGCCCACCUUUCUCCUGUGGACAUCUCCGAGACAUAUUGCCUCCUUUCCGCCGGCGAGGUGAUCCUCUUGAGUGUGGUGUUGAAGCAUACGAGCUGGGUUGCACCAGUAGCAAGGCUACAAUUCAAAUCAACACGGGAACAUACUAUGUGACUGCCAUCAACUACCCCGGUUCCUACUUUUUGGUCAUCGACACCAACUCCGAUACCAGCAGCAGCUGCCCUCUUCCACUGUGGAAUCACGUUCCUUAUUCAGGACCCUAUGAAAAAAGCUAUUUAUAUUCAAAUGGCUUUAAUAAUUUGCAGACUCGAAGCCUCUACAGAGCAUGUUUUGCUAAUUGUUCGCAGGCAGUAAUGGAUAAUAGUUCAUACAAGCCCGUUGCUUGCCUGAGUGCCAAAGAUUCCCAUGUUUAUGUCUGGGUAUCUGAGUCUGUAUGUGGGGUUGAAGAUCUUAAACCUUAUUGUGGAUACGUGGCCUUGACUCCAUUUCUCGUCACGUAUUCUGUUGAUCUGCAACAGCUACGGAAUGCAAGUUAUGUAGAUCUCACAAAACUCAUAAGUAAGGGGUUUACUGUCUAUUUUCCUGUGGAAGCAGGUGAUAUCCGUUCUGUUUCUAGGACAAUCAAUAUAUGCCUCAACAGGACAACCAGCUACUUCAAGGAGCAAAUAUCUGGCACAAGCAUCGUGAAUUGGACUCAUGCUAUUUUCUGGAGUGAGGUGCAUUUCUUAGAAUGCGUAACUGAUACCAACUUUGGUAGCACCUACACAACAGAGUCGCUUUUACUUGUUGUAACCAUAUUAUCUGCUAUUGGCAUCUCCAAGUUCCUUUUCGGUAUGUCAGAAUUAUAUGCUUUUUACCUUCAAAAGAAGAAUUUACAUAUUUUUAAUCAUCAUGGCCACAAUCUAGGACAUACACAUAUUCCGACAUGUUCAUCUAUCUUACAUCCAUGUUUGUCGACUUGUUGGGCAGUACUAUGCAGGUUCUUGUUGGCACCCCUGGCUGUAUGGAUAUUCCUAGGCUACAAGUACUGGAAAACAAUGAUCAUAAUUGAUGCAGUUGAGAAGUUCCUCAGGAUUCAACAAAUGAUUGGCCCAACGAGGUACUCCUACACAGACAUCGUUGCAAUAACAAGCCAUUUCAGAGAUAAACUGGGCCAAGGGGGAUACGGCACCGUGUACAAGGGCGUGCUACUCCCAGGCGAUGUUCAUGUCGCCGUGAAGAUGCUAGAGGGGAACUCAAACUGCAAUGGAGAGGAUUUCAUCAGCGAGGUCUCCACCAUUGGCAGGAUCCACCAUGUCAACGUGGUUCGUUUAGUGGGGUUCUGCUCGGAGGAAAUGAGAAGGGCCUUAGUCUACGAGUACAUGCCCCAUGGCUCUCUAGACAAGUACAUCUUCUCUGCUGAGAAGAGCUUCUCAUGGGACAAGCUCAACGAGAUCGCUCUGGGCAUUGCCAGGGGGAUCAACUACUUACAUCAGGGGUGUGACAUGCAGAUUCUGCACUUUGACAUCAAGCCGCACAACAUCCUUCUCGACAGCAAUUUCGUCCCAAAGGUCGCUGAUUUCGGGCUCGCCAAACUGUACCCGAGGGGCGACAGUUUUGUGCCACUGAGCGCUAUGCGGGGAACGGUCGGCUACAUAGCCCCCGAGAUGAUAUCCCGGAGCUUUGGUGUCAUAUCCAGCAAGUCUGACGUGUACAGCUUCGGGAUGCUGCUGCUGGAGAUGGCUGGCGGGAGAAGGAACGCCGACCCAAACGCGGGGAGCUCAAGCCAGGCGUACUACCCGUCAUGGGUUUACGACCAGCUGACCCGGGAAGAAGCGGGCGAGGAGAUAUCACCUGUUGCUGCUGACAUGCAUGAGCUGGAGAAGAAGCUUUGCGUUGUCGGGUUAUGGUGUAUUCAGAUGAGGUCUUCCGAUCGGCCAACGAUGGGCGAGGUCAUUGAGAUUCUGGAGGCUGGGGCUGGCGGCCUACAGAUGCUUUCGAGGCCAUUUUUCUGUGACGAAGGGCACAUCCAUGUGGAGGACUCUUACCAUUUCACUUCGGAGCUGACUGCGGUCUCAGAAGAGGAAUUGAGUGCGGUGUCGGAGGAGGAAGACGAUGUGUGA